Long non-coding RNA from Mytilus californianus (California mussel), 167 nucleotides. RefSeq lists it as uncharacterized. Lineage: Eukaryota; Metazoa; Mollusca; Bivalvia; Mytilida; Mytilidae. The record is from RefSeq and is a predicted model, not a curated record. The transcript has 2 exons.
AACUUAUUGAACUGAUAAAGUGUGUAUAAUUUAGUAUUGCAAUGGAUUCUAAAACUUGCUCAGACGUACAUGUCCAGGGUCAGAGAAAUUAAAUACUGAAAUAUGACAUCAAACACGACUGACCAAAUUCAUGAUGAUCCAUCCAAAACGAAGGAUAAAAAGCGUGA